Molecule: long non-coding RNA, 628 nt
Organism: Mytilus trossulus (common blue mussel)
Lineage: Eukaryota; Metazoa; Mollusca; Bivalvia; Mytilida; Mytilidae
Exons: 3
Source: RefSeq, a predicted model, not a curated record
AAGUAAGUUGUAGACUGGAUUUUAUUUGAGUGUAUUUUUUUGUAAUCAAUUUAUGUUUUGAAACGCUCCCCUUUAAUUUCCAUAAUAAGCAAUUGAUCAACUAAUCACCAAAGAAUAAAAACCAAGAACUGCAAAGGGCCAUCAUAAAGGUGAUAAUGAAACAAGUUAUCAUCAACAUUACAACCAAAACAGCAUUAAGUUAAUAUACUUAAUUUUUUUAUAGAUAUUUAAUAAAAGUAUUUCAAAUGUGAAAUUAAAUUACAACUAUAAUUUACAUUGUAUCAGAAUUUAAAAGAAAAGUUUUUUAGUUUUUUUAUUCCUUCUUUUUCAGUCAUCCAAAUUCACAACCUCCAGCAUCACUUAUACAACAUCAGAACCUGCUUCCUCCCAUCAGACAGAAAGACCAAUUACUUCCACUACCAGCACACCACCAUCAACUUUGUCUUUACAAAGUGUUCUCUUGGUUGUUUUUGCUUCCCUAGCUAUAUUCGUUGGAAUCCUUUUCACCAUACACUUUGUAAGGAAAUAUUUACAAAAAAAAUCAACUAGACCACAUUCUACACUAGACCAAGUUGUAAUAUCAAACUUUAUUAAUUCAUCAAAUUCCAGUAUAGAACUUUUUAAUUUA